CCGAAGUCGGUGAGGUAACCUUUUGGAGCCAGCCGCCGAAGGUGGGACAGAUGAUUGGGGUGAAGUCGUAACAAGGUAGCCGUAUCGGAAGGUGCGGCUGGAUCACCUCCUUU
This 113-nucleotide non-coding RNA is filed under the name Priestia endophytica. Its description in RNAcentral is "partial 16S ribosomal RNA". It matches the Rfam family "Bacterial small subunit ribosomal RNA", at positions 1421 to 1533 of the family's 1533-position model. The record is from RNAcentral. RNAcentral also lists the same sequence under 1 other name. Lineage: Bacteria; Bacillati; Bacillota; Bacilli; Caryophanales; Bacillaceae.